This 253-nucleotide ribosomal RNA is filed under the name uncultured bacterium. RNAcentral's name for it is "partial 16S ribosomal RNA". It matches the Rfam family "Bacterial small subunit ribosomal RNA", at positions 524 to 776 of the family's 1533-position model. The record is from RNAcentral.
GACAGAGGGUGCAAACGUUGUUCGGAAUUACUGGGCGUAAAGCGUGUGUAGGCGGCCGUGUAAGUCAGGUGUGAAAGCCCCAGGCUCAACCUGGGAAGUGCACUUGAUACUGCGCGGCUCGAGUAUCGGAGAGGUUGGUGGAAUUCUCGGUGUAGAGGUGAAAUGCGCAGAUAUCAGGAAGAACACCCGUGGCUAAGGCGGCUCUCUAGUACGAUACUGACGCUGAGACGCGAAAGCGUGGGGAGCGAACAGG